CCCAAUCAGGUUACAUGGGUUAUUAGACACUGGCCUGCGGAGACCACCCCCAGGCCUGGCUCCAAGGAUGGGUCCCAGUCACCCUAAUACUGGCAGGGUACACUUAGUCUUUUUCAUACCUUUCAUGGGGGUCAUUAAGAUCACUCUUUGUAUGUCCUCGUGUUUCAGAUCUGUUAACCAAGGGUCUGUGGUGGUGAAACAGGAGCUCAGUUUGUGGGUGAUGACAUCCCUGUCAUCAUCCCUUGGACACAAGCUGUGGGUAGUGACUGAAAGAAUAAGGUUGUGAGUACAGGUGGUGGAAAUGAGGUUCCACAGCAGGGUUGGUAGGCUUACUCCUUGGGAUAGGGUGAUGAUAAUCCUCGGAAUAGUCCCAAUGCUCAUUCGAAUGGAUAAGGGCCAGCUUAGGUGAUUUAGGCACCUUAAAAGGAUGCCCAAUAGUCGAUUCCUUCUGGAGUUGUAUCAGACAUGUUCCACUUGACAGAGACCUCGGGGCAGACCCAGAAUCUGCUGGAGAGAUUAAAUCUCCCAGUUGGAUUGAGAACGUCUGGGGAUCUCUCAGGAAGAGCCGGAAUCUGUGGCUGUGGAUAGAUAAGUCUGGGCUGCUGUCACAGCAACCGCCACCUGGAAAACCAGAUAGAAUGAAAUGAAUGAGUGUUGUAGGUCAGGUGCUGCAUGAUGAGUGAUGUUUGCCAUUUGAAAGCAUGAAACGUCUCCACUAGGCUCUAGCAAGUAAGUAAGUUCUUUAUUUGUAUGAGAGCCACAGCCUCCUUAAAUAAUUUUUUUUUAAAACUAUAUUUGGCUUCAAAUGGCUUACCAGAAAUCUAUGAGACUUGACUUGCCAAGCUAACACUCACCGUUUUUUCACUAUAAAGUGUGUGUAGGACGUUUAAGGGACUGGACUUUUGUGUGGGUGUUGUGUGCACCACUUUUUAUAGAUAUUGCCUGUCUCUGCUCAUCUUCUGGUACGGUAGUGUUUGUAAUCAGAAGGGUGUGGGGGCGAAACACCAUGUUAACAGGUAUGUGUCAUUCAUCCAUGCUACACGUCUUUAAAACAAAGCUCAUUCUGCUUUAUGUAAUGGCACUUGGUAUAGUAGAUGAUAUUGAUGGCACAAGGCAAAAUGUGUUCGAAUGGGAAUACAUUAUAAUGUUGUGUGUAUGCAUGCAUUGUGCCAUGGCCAGGUUUUUGUGCAGGCAUGUGCAAGUGUGUGAGAGCGAGAGAGCAGGUGUGAGUUCACGGGGUUGUCCAUAGGGGGAUUUCUGGAGACCUUCAGGAUGAGUCCCACCUGGAGGGACGUGAACGAGUGCCAUGAGCUUAGUUUAGUUCAUCUAAAUUUAGUUUUGGCCCUCACUCCUGUCCAUAGCGAGAAUUCUCUCAGCACGGAUCCACCACUAACCGUCCAGCAACAUGGCCACUCUUAGUCACCUCCGAAACCUCGUCCAGUGUGUAAAACUGAUUCAGAGAGCUGGACAAACACCCUUAUUAUGGUUUCCAGUAUGUCAUGGGAUUAGCAAGAGGACAUUGUUAUGUAACUUAACACAGAUAUUAGAUAUUUUUGUUAGGAAGCUUCUUGAAUAAUUUUAACAGGUUUGUGGAAAUAAAACACAAGUGGAUGUGCUAUUAUAGGAAAAUAAUCAGAGACAGGGUGGUGUGAUAUGGCCUGAUGUGAAGAGGAGUUAUUGUCGCCAACCCAAGGUUGAUUAUUUUUAAUUUGAACAUUAUCAUGUUACAGAAAUAACGUAAAGUCCUCUGUCCUGAAGAUUUUUUUGUUUUUUGUUUUGCAUCAAACCACUGACACUGGAGACUCCUUUCAAAAAAUGUAAAUGUCCCCUCACAGAAAACUUCUUAGUAACAGCACUCUGGUAUAAAUUAUAUUAUGUAUGUUUACAUAAAAAGAGUAGUAUUAGCAGGCGGCAUGGUGGCUAAGUGGUUAGCACGCUUGCCUCACACAUCAUGGUUGGGGAUUUCGAAUCCCCAAUCUCCCCACCCAGAGGUCCCCAGGAUAGGCUCCAGGCUCCCCUGUGACCCUGUGUAGGAUAAGUGCGAUGGAAAAUGGAUGGAUGGUGGUAUUACAUGUACUGGAAGCACAUUCCAUUUAAGACAUGAUGUGUUACAUUUCCUGUAAUUUAAUGGCUAAGUGGUGAAUGUAGCUGAAACAUGGUGAGUGAAUGUAAUUUGUUUUGUCCCACAGGCUGCAGACUCACUACACGGAUUAACAUAAUUUCUCACUCAGGAAAAUGUCAGCAAGCAUCUCAUCUGAGGUGGUGGUUCUGAUGCUAUUAUGCCUCAGGCUAGUUUUGCAUGCCUAUGACAUUUUUGGCUUCUUAAUAUCCCCAGACUCACUCCUGUUGGCUGUAAAAUGGACAUGUAAGACGCACAGACUCGUUGUGUUGUCGAUGGCAGCAUUGCGAACACUCAGUGUCAUAUGACUCAUGCCAAAUGUGUGAUUACAAAAGCUGGAUUAUUUAUUGGUAAAUUUACUCACGCUGCUUCGCUUUUGAUCUUCAACAUUAGGUGAGCCGGUCUCAUGUCAGCAAAGUCUCUGUGAAAUGGGUUGUGUCCCAUGUCAGAGAGUGAGAACUUUUAAACAGUAAAAAACCAUCUUAAAUCAUACGAUUUUAAUGGAUUACAUUUGCUGUGAAUUUGCAUCUAAUGCACUGCUGAGGUACUAACUAGGGCACUGCUUUCACAUGUGUAGUGUUUAGUCUGUUUCGAGUCGAACCCUCUGAGUGAGGUGGUCCCGCUUAGCUGAUCCGAAAGCUGUUUUUGAUAGUAGAUGAUCCUGAAACAAACCUUAAAUUUUCAAGGUCCUGCUCUUCAACCGCCUUCAAUUAAGACCAGAUAAAAAUAUACCUCUUAACUCAGCAGUACGGGUGUUAAAUAAAUAAAUAAAUAAAUAAAUAAAUAAAUAUCCUAGUUAAGCUUUUCUUCUCCUCCUUUUUUUUUUAAGAACAGCUUUUCCAUAAAAUAUCACGGUCAGUAUUUAUCAUGUCGUUGUUCUAAGAUGGAAAAGAGAGAGCAAGGAAAGGAGGCAAACUGAAAAACAAACUGUAGUAAUGCAAUGUGCGGUGCUACUUGGCCAAAAUAGACAAUUGAUUUAGUUUAUCUCUGGUCAGCAGUGCCAUGUUUUUCUGUGUUUUGAGAGCUGUCAUGUUUGAUAAAGCUAGCAGUGCGCUAGGAGCGGCAACAAAGGUAGCAAUGUAACGUGUUUAUAACAGUAAUGGAUUACAGCCAAAGGGUUUUCAGUGCCAUCCAAGUCCUCUGCACAGAGAAACAAAGGUUACUGUAGUGUGAGUCCAUAGGGAAGCAGUUGUGAAAUUUUUCAUGGAGUCUCAUCUGGACGCGAAAGGGAUGAAAACCACUGGAAUAAGGAACUUAUUGUGAGGUAACUGUGAAACCAUGACACUCUAACAACCCUACUCAACAGUAUUAUCUUCUCCGUAUGUGUUAAUUGCCUUGACAUGUGUCAAUCUUUUUCAUUGCCUUGAAUUGCAUGUAUCUUUCUGGUCACCUUUGUAAAGCUACCUUAAGCUUACAAAAGUGCUACAUUAAUGGUCAUUAUUAAUAAUAUUUUCUAGCCGGUUAGUAACUAGGCUAUACUCAGUGUCUUGUAAAAAAAAAAAAAAAAAUGUGUGAAAGCUAUAGAGAGACAUAGAAGGAAAGAGAAAGACACAGAAAGAUCCAGAGAGAUGAACAGAAGGAGCGAGGGGGAGGUCCUCACACUCAUCCACACACGUAUUUAUCAAACCACCUCUCCAGGCUUUUCUUGCGCCAGCAUCGUGCCGAACAUUUGGAUGUCGCCGGUGUCGUUAAUCAUCGCCGCCGAUUCGUUAUAACACGGCUGUCGCUCAGAGUGUUCAUGAAUUUAACCAGUGCCCAUCCUUUAUAUUUAUACGACAGCCACGGAGUGCCGAGGCAGACAGAACUGAAAUGAUGUGGGCGAGUCUCAGGCAGAAUGCUGAACACAAAGCACACAAGAUUUGGGCCAAGACGCGUCAUGUGACAUCAUCACAACGUGCAUUCAGCCAAAGUCCUCUUUGAUUUAUGUGCGUUGAACACAUGUACACAACUUAAUCACACUAUUAACGUCAUGUGGGAGUUUUCACUGCAGCCCUAAAGCACGAUCCCACCACCACCAUGCUCCACCGUGAGUAUAGCAGCCCUAAAGCACGAUCCCACCACCACCAUGCUCCACCGUGAGUAUAGCAGCCCUAAAGCACGAUCCCACCACCACCAUGCUCCACAGUGAGUAUAGCAGCCCUAAAGCAUGAUCCCACCACCACCACCAUGCUUCACCGUGAGUAUAGCAGCAUAAAGCACGAUCCCACCACCACCACCAUGCUUCACCGUGAGUAUAGCAGCCCUAAAGCAUGAUCCCACCACCACCACCAUGCUUCACCGUGAGUAUAGCAGCCCUAAAGCAUGAUCCCACCACCACCACCAUGCUUCACCGUGAGUAUAGCAGCCCUAAAGCACGAUCCCACCACCACCACCAUGCUUCACCGUGAGUAUAGCAGCAUAAAGCACGAUCCCACCACCACCACCAUGCUUCACCGUGAGUAUAGCAGCAUAAAGCACGAUCCCACCACCACCACCAUGCUUCACCGUGAGUAUAGCAGCCCUGAAGCACGAUCCCACCACCACCACCAUGCUUCACCGUGAGUAUAGCAGCAUAAAGCACGAUCCCACCACCACCAC
This is a long non-coding RNA of Ictalurus furcatus (blue catfish), 4696 nucleotides long. RefSeq lists it as uncharacterized. NCBI's taxonomy places the organism in Eukaryota, Metazoa, Chordata, Actinopteri, Siluriformes, Ictaluridae. The record is from RefSeq and is a predicted model, not a curated record. The transcript is spliced from 3 exons.